This 428-nucleotide ribosomal RNA is filed under the name uncultured prokaryote. RNAcentral describes it as "bacterial SSU rRNA". It matches the Rfam family "Bacterial small subunit ribosomal RNA", at positions 355 to 774 of the family's 1533-position model. The record is from RNAcentral.
UGAGGAAUUUUGCGCAAUGGCCGCAAGGCUGACGCAGCAACGCCGCGUUAGUGAGGAAGGUUUUCGGACCGUAAAGCUCUGUCGAGCGGGAAGAAAUGUAUCGUGGCUAAUAUCCAUGAUACUUGACGGUACCGCUAAAGGAAGCACCGGCUAACUCCGUGCCAGCAGCCGCGGUAAUACGGGGGGUGCAAGCGUUGUUCGGAAUUAUUGGGCGUAAAGAGCGUGUAGGCGGCUGAAUAAGUCAGAUGUGAAAUCCCUGGGCUUAACUCAGGAAGUGCAUUUGAAACUAUUCAGCUCGAGUAGGGGAGAGGAAAGUGGAAUUCCUGGUGUAGAGGUGAAAUUCGUAGAUAUCAGGAGGAACACCGGUGGCGAAGGCGACUUUCUGGCCCUAUACUGACGCUGAGACGCGAGAGCGUGGGUAGCAAACA